Molecule: ribosomal RNA, 394 nt
Filed under: Corambe obscura
Lineage: Eukaryota; Metazoa; Mollusca; Gastropoda; Nudibranchia; Onchidorididae
Description: partial 16S ribosomal RNA
Rfam family: Archaeal large subunit ribosomal RNA
Source: RNAcentral
UUUUCAUCAAUGGCCGCGGUACUUUGACCGUGCUAAGGUAGCGCAAUCAAUUGGCUUUUAAUUGGAGCCAGGUAUGAAUGGAAUUACGGGGUUUAGCUGUCUCACAUUUAAUUUAUUGAAGUUACUAUGCAGGUGAAAAAGCCUGUGUAAAGAAAAAGGACGAGAAGACCCUUAGAGUUUUACCUAAAUCAAAAUAUUUUUUGAUACAGUUUAGUUGGGGCAACAUAGGAACAGAAAACCUCCUAAAUCAAACUAACCGAUUUUUAUAAAGUUGAAUAAACUACCUUAGGGAUAACAGCAUAAUUUUAUUAAUAAGUUUGUGACCUCGAUGUUGGACUAGGAAACUAGAAGGCUAGCCGCCUUUUAGGUAAGUUCUGUUCGAACUAUUAUUCCU